This 876-nucleotide ribosomal RNA is filed under the name uncultured bacterium. RNAcentral's name for it is "bacterial SSU rRNA". It matches the Rfam family "Bacterial small subunit ribosomal RNA", at positions 8 to 916 of the family's 1533-position model. The record is from RNAcentral.
AGAGUUUGAUCCUGGCUCAGAAUCAACGCUGGCGGCGCGCUUAACACAUGCAAGUCGCACGAGAAAGCCCGCAAGGGUGAGUAAAGUGGCGUACGGGUGAGUAACACGUGGAUCAUCUACCUUUUAGUGGGGAAUACCCCCGGGAAACUGGGGACAAUACCGCAUAAGCUCGUGAGAGGAAAGCAGCAAUGCGCUGAAAGAGGAGUCCGCGGCUGAUUAGCUAGUUGGUGAGGUAACGGCCCACCAAGGCGAAGAUCGGUAGCCGGCCUGAGAGGGCACACGGCCACACUGGCACUGAAACACGGGCCAGACUCCUACGGGAGGCAGCAGUGGGGAAUCUUGCACAAUGGAGGAAACUCUGAUGCAGCGACGCCGCGUGAGUGAUGAAGCCCCUCGGGGUGUAAAGCUCUUUCGACGGGAAAGAUGAUGACGGUACCCGAAGAAGAAGCUGCGGCUAACUACGUGCCAGCAGCCGCGGUAAUACGUAGGCAGCAAGCGUUGUUCGGAAUUACUGGGCGUAAAGAGUGUGUAGGCGGUGCUCUAAGUCUGUUGUGAAAUCUCCCGGCUUAACUGGGAGGGUGCGGCGGAAACUAGUGUGCUAGAGGGUGGGAGAGGUAAGCGGAAUUCCUGGUGUAGCGGUGAAAUGCGUAGAUAUCAGGAGGAACACCUGUGGUGUAGACAGCUUACUGGACCACUUCUGACGCUGAGACACGAAAGCGUGGGUAGCAAACAGGAUUAGAUACCCUGGUAGUCCACGCCGUAAACGUUGGGCGCUAGGUGUGGGGUCCUUCCACGGAUUUCCGUGCCGCAGCUAACGCAUUAAGCGCCCCGCCUGGGGAGUACGGCCGCAAGGCUAAAACUCAAAGGAAUUGACGG